RNAcentral lists this long non-coding RNA (290 nucleotides) under Mytilus galloprovincialis (Mediterranean mussel). Lineage: Eukaryota; Metazoa; Mollusca; Bivalvia; Mytilida; Mytilidae. The record is from RNAcentral.
GUUAUUAUCUUGAAUAUUAUUAUAGAUAGAGAUAAACUGUAAACAGCAAUAAUGUACAGCAAUUUAAGACUCAAAAAUAAGUCAAAAUGACCAAAAUGGUCAAUAGACCCCCUAAGAAGUUAUUGUCCUUUAUAAUCAAUUUUUAACAAUUUUCAUAAAAUUUGUAAAUUUUUACAAACAUUUUCCACUGAAACUACACGGACAAGUUCAUUAUAGAUAGAGAUAAUUGUAAGCAGCAAGAAAGUUCAGUAAAGUGAGAUGUACAAACACAUCACAAUCACCUAAACACA